Long non-coding RNA from Ipomoea nil (Japanese morning glory), 101 nucleotides. RefSeq lists it as uncharacterized. The record is from RefSeq and is a predicted model, not a curated record. The transcript is spliced from 4 exons. Lineage: Eukaryota; Viridiplantae; Streptophyta; Magnoliopsida; Solanales; Convolvulaceae.
AAUCUGUUGCUAAACACUUUAGCGACGGAUUUCACCUGUUUAGCGACGGAAAUUGUCCGUCGCUACUUUCGCAUUUUUUUGUAGUGCAAAUACUCAACUCC